GGAAGGUGCAAGCGUUAAUCGGAAUUACUGGGCGUAAAGCGCGCGUAGGCGGCUAGAUAAGUCGGGUGUGAAAGCCCCGGGCUCAACCUGGGAACUGCAUUCGAUACUGUCUGGCUAGAGUGUGAUAGGGGGAGGCGGAAUUCCGCAUGUAGCGGUGAAAUGCGUAGAGAUGCGGAGGAACACCAAUGGCGAAGGCAGCCUCCUGGAUUAACACUGACGCUGAGGUGCGAAAGCGUGGGGGGAGCAAACAGGAUUAGAUACCCUGGUAGUCCACGCCCGUAAACCGAUGUCAACUAGCCGUUGGGAGCAAUUUGGCUCUUGGUGGCGCAGCUAACGCGAUAAGUUGACCGCCUGGGGAGUACGGUCGCAAGAUUA
RNAcentral lists this ribosomal RNA (375 nucleotides) under uncultured organism. RNAcentral's name for it is "partial 16S ribosomal RNA". It matches the Rfam family "Bacterial small subunit ribosomal RNA", at positions 527 to 896 of the family's 1533-position model. The record is from RNAcentral.